Molecule: ribosomal RNA, 253 nt
Filed under: uncultured bacterium
Lineage: Bacteria
Description: partial 16S ribosomal RNA
Rfam family: Bacterial small subunit ribosomal RNA
Source: RNAcentral
UACAGAGGUCUCAAGCGUUGUUCGGAUUCAUUGGGCGUAAAGGGUGCGUAGGCGGCGCGGUAAGUCGGGUGUGAAAUCUCGGGGCUUAACUCCGAAACUGCAUUCGAUACUGCCGUGCUUGAGGACUGGAGAGGAGACUGGAAUUUACGGUGUAGCGGUGAAAUGCGUAGAUAUCGGGAGGAACACCAAUGGCGAAGGCAGCUCGCUGGGACGUUACUGACGCUGAGACGCGAAAGCGUGGGGAGCAAACAGG